Molecule: ribosomal RNA, 253 nt
Filed under: uncultured bacterium
Lineage: Bacteria
Description: partial 16S ribosomal RNA
Rfam family: Bacterial small subunit ribosomal RNA
Source: RNAcentral
GACGAACCGUCCAAACGUUGUUCGGAAUCACUGGGCUUAAAGGGCGCGUAGGCGGCCUUGAAAGUCGGGGGUGAAAUCCCACGGCCUAACCGUGGAAGUGCCUCCGAUACUGCAGGGCUCGAGGGAGGUAGGGGCAGCUGGAACUUCCGGUGGAGCGGUGAAAUGCGUUGAUAUCGGAAGGAACGCCGGUGGCGAAAGCGAGCUGCUGGACCUCUGCUGACGCUGAGGCGCGAAAGCCAGGGGAGCAAACGGG